Molecule: ribosomal RNA, 253 nt
Filed under: uncultured bacterium
Lineage: Bacteria
Description: partial 16S ribosomal RNA
Rfam family: Bacterial small subunit ribosomal RNA
Source: RNAcentral
UACGUAGGGUGCGAGCGUUAAUCGGAAUUACUGGGCGUAAAGCGUGCGCAGGCGGUCAUGUAAGACAGAUGUGAAAUCCCCGGGCUUAACCUGGGACCUGCAUUUGUGACUGCAUUGCUAGAGUACGGUAGAGGGGGAUGGAAUUCCGCGUGUAGCAGUGAAAUGCGUAGAUAUGCGGAGGAACACCGAUGGCGAAGGCAAUCCCCUGGACCUGUACUGACGCUCAUGCACGAAAGCGUGGGGAGCAAACAGG